CACACACAUAUAGAGAGAGAGAGAGAGAACUGAGCUUGAAUACUUUUAAAAGCACCAAGCCCUUGGUGCUUCUAGGUUUCUAGCCCUUGGAUCUACUCCUUGAUUACUAAUAGACUUGGGAUUAAACACUAUUCCACCUACCACCACCUACCACCUACCACCACCUACCACCAUCAUCUCAACCCCCCAUUUCUUCAUCCAAUGGCUAAAAACUCAAAAGCACCACUCUCUUGGUGCUUUUGCGAGUAUUCUAGUUC
Molecule: long non-coding RNA, 257 nt
Filed under: Ananas comosus (pineapple)
Lineage: Eukaryota; Viridiplantae; Streptophyta; Magnoliopsida; Poales; Bromeliaceae
Description: long non-coding RNA (ACOM_LNC021332)
Source: RNAcentral